Molecule: small nucleolar RNA, 75 nt
Organism: Peromyscus eremicus (cactus mouse)
Lineage: Eukaryota; Metazoa; Chordata; Mammalia; Rodentia; Cricetidae
Source: RefSeq, a predicted model, not a curated record
GUGCAAUGAUGUGUGAAUUUCUUCACCUGAAAUCACUGUGAAGAGUGAAGUCGAGCUUUUUAACCCUGAGUCACA